Callithrix jacchus (white-tufted-ear marmoset) is the source of this 1170-nucleotide non-coding RNA. The record is from RefSeq and is a predicted model, not a curated record. NCBI's taxonomy places the organism in Eukaryota, Metazoa, Chordata, Mammalia, Primates, Cebidae.
UUUUAAGAAGUGUGGGGCGGGGGAGGGCAGAGAAUAAAGGAAGAAAAGGCCCAGGUUUUCUCUUCCAAACUGUAUUUCUCAAACUCUAAGUCCCUGACGGCCUCGGCUGGGAGUGGACCGAGCACAGCCACAGCUUUGGCUGUGCUCGGUCUCCCCAACUUGAAGAUCCCCCCGCUCCCAGCUCCGCGCCAGAAACAAGGGGCGUGGGGGUGGGGGAAGCGGAAGGAGCACAGCGAAGAAAGGAGGCAGGCACUCUGGACGUCUAGGCCCCAGGGUCCUUGGCGGUGUGGUCCCCAAACCUCUGCCUCCUCCCACCAUGACAAUCCUACACUCAGAACUACUUACCAGGAGCUGGAACUCAGAAAGCCUGGGCAUGUUUGCCCACAGGGGUUGGAGGAAACGAUUAGACAUUUACUAUCGAGAGAGGAAAGUGAGUUAUGAUAAAGUCAGCCUUCCAUGUGGAUUGUCUUCAGUUCGCUCAAGAAUGACCAGAGUGACACCCCAUCACCUGUCUAUCCCCAGAUACCCAGGAAAGAUACUGGGAGGGGGCGUUGUCUCAUUACUUGCUUCCACUUCUGUGAACAGUGAUACACUACCUGGAAGCAAGGACCAUCUAGCCUUUGGCGUCAGUCGUGGCCAAGAGCAAAAGGAACCCCGAGUGCUGUAAAGCCGCCCCUAAUACAGAGGCUUCUGCGAUACUCCGUUUCAGGCUGGGCACUCAGGGAGACAAAUGGAAAGUGUGCACAAGGUGGCUCAGGAACGAGAAAACCAAGUGGACAGAAGGGAAAACGCAGGAAAACAUGAGGGAGGAAAGGGAAGCCUCACUCAGCUCACUGCAGUACACAGCAAUCGGCAGAAUGCCUUUCUUCCAGCAAGUCCAGAGGAUACUGGAACCUGCCUCUGGUUCUCAUCCCCCACCCCCAGCAGAAGCUGGCUCUCCUGUGAACACCUGGCCAGACUAUACAUCUUGGCCUUCCCCACCUACGAGGUGGCGAAGUCAGCUCUAUUCCAGUUUACCUGGGAGCUACACCUGGGAGCUCCCCCUCCCUGGUGAGAAAGGCAUUUGGAGAAACUACAGUCUGGGUAUUUGUAUUUGAACUCCACUAGCAAAGUAAUACUUUUUCCUAACCUAAUAUAUUUUAAAAAGUAAAACCCAAAGGAGGAAACAAA